GAGGGUAUAGCUUAGUGCUUAGAGCAGGUGCUUAGCAUGCACCAGGUCCUGGGUUCAAUCCCCAGUACCUCCA
Molecule: transfer RNA, 73 nt
Filed under: Camelus bactrianus (Bactrian camel)
Lineage: Eukaryota; Metazoa; Chordata; Mammalia; Artiodactyla; Camelidae
Also listed under: 2 other names
Rfam family: tRNA
About the family: Transfer RNA (tRNA) molecules are approximately 80 nucleotides in length. Their secondary structure includes four short double-helical elements and three loops (D, anti-codon, and T loops).
Source: Rfam by way of RNAcentral